RNAcentral lists this ribosomal RNA (698 nucleotides) under Streptomyces sp. H11(2011). RNAcentral's name for it is "bacterial SSU rRNA". It matches the Rfam family "Bacterial small subunit ribosomal RNA", at positions 108 to 818 of the family's 1533-position model. Lineage: Bacteria; Bacillati; Actinomycetota; Actinomycetes; Kitasatosporales; Streptomycetaceae. The record is from RNAcentral.
GAGUAACACGUGGGCAAUCUGCCCUGCACUCUGGGACAAGCCCUGGAAACGGGGUCUAAUACCGGAUACUGACCCGCUUGGGCAUCCAAGCGGUUCGAAAGCUCCGGCGGUGCAGGAUGAGCCCGCGGCCUAUCAGCUUGUUGGUGAGGUAAUGGCUCACCAAGGCGACGACGGGUAGCCGGCCUGAGAGGGCGACCGGCCACACUGGGACUGAGACACGGCCCAGACUCCUACGGGAGGCAGCAGUGGGGAAUAUUGCACAAUGGGCGAAAGCCUGAUGCAGCGACGCCGCGUGAGGGAUGACGGCCUUCGGGUUGUAAACCUCUUUCAGCAGGGAAGAAGCGAAAGUGACGGUACCUGCAGAAGAAGCGCCGGCUAACUACGUGCCAGCAGCCGCGGUAAUACGUAGGGCGCGAGCGUUGUCCGGAAUUAUUGGGCGUAAAGAGCUCGUAGGCGGCUUGUCACGUCGGUUGUGAAAGCCCGGGGCUUAACCCCGGGUCUGCAGUCGAUACGGGCAGGCUAGAGUUCGGUAGGGGAGAUCGGAAUUCCUGGUGUAGCGGUGAAAUGCGCAGAUAUCAGGAGGAACACCGGUGGCGAAGGCGGAUCUCUGGGCCGAUACUGACGCUGAGGAGCGAAAGCGUGGGGAGCGAACAGGAUUAGAUACCCUGGUAGUCCACGCCGUAAACGGGUGGGCACUA